This 468-nucleotide ribosomal RNA is filed under the name uncultured bacterium. Its description in RNAcentral is "partial 16S ribosomal RNA". It matches the Rfam family "Bacterial small subunit ribosomal RNA", at positions 28 to 507 of the family's 1533-position model. The record is from RNAcentral.
GACGAACGCUGGCGGCGUGCUUAACACAUGCAAGUCGAACGGAAAGGCCCUGCUUUUGUGGGGUGCUCGAGUGGCGAACGGGUGAGUAACACGUGAGUAACCUGCCCUUGACUUUGGGAUAACUUCAGGAAACUGGGGCUAAUACCGGAUAGGAGCUCCUGCUGCAUGGUGGGGGUUGGAAAGUUUCGGCGGUUGGGGAUGGACUCGCGGCUUAUCAGCUUGUUGGUGGGGUAGUGGCUUACCAAGGCUUUGACGGGUAGCCGGCCUGGGCGGGUGACCGGCCAAAUUGGGACUGAGCUACGGCCCAGACUCCUACGGGAGGCAGCAGUGGAGAAUAUUGCACAGUGGGCGGAAGCCUGAUGCAGCAACGCCGCGUGCGGGAUGACGGCCUUCGGGUUGUAAACCGCUUUCGCCUGUGACGAAGCGUGAGUGACGGUAAUGGGUAAAGAAGCACCGGCUAACUACGUG